RNAcentral lists this ribosomal RNA (483 nucleotides) under uncultured bacterium. RNAcentral's name for it is "SSU rRNA". It matches the Rfam family "Bacterial small subunit ribosomal RNA", at positions 26 to 523 of the family's 1533-position model. The record is from RNAcentral.
AGGACGAACGCUGGCGGCGUGCUUAACACAUGCAAGUCGAGCGGUAAGGCUCCUUCGGGAGUACACGAGCGGCGAACGGGUGAGUAACACGUGAGCAAUCUGCCCUUCACUUUGGGAUAACUUCCGGAAACGGAAGCUAAUACCGAAUACGACCAUUACAGACAUCUGUUGAUGGUGGAAAGUUCCGGCGGUGAAGGAUGAGCUCGCGGCCUAUCAGCUUGUUGGUGGGGUAACGGCCCACCAAGGCGACGACGGGUAGCCGGCCUGAGAGGGUGACCGGCCACACUGGGACUGAGACACGGCCCAGACUCCUACGGGAGGCAGCAGUGGGGGAAUAUUGGACAAUGGGCGAAAGCCUGAUCCAGCAACGCCGCGUGAGGGAUGACGGCCUUCGGGUUGUAACCUCUUUCAGCAGGGACGAAGCGAAAGUGACGGUACCUGCAGAAGAAGCACCGGCCAACUACGCGCCAGCAGCCGCGGUAA